GCCAGAGUGAUCCAGUGGUUUGAAUGUUGGGACUACAACUCUAGAGACCAGGCUUCAAAUCCCCGCUCAGCCA
Molecule: non-coding RNA, 73 nt
Organism: Phrynosoma platyrhinos (Desert horned lizard)
Lineage: Eukaryota; Metazoa; Chordata; Lepidosauria; Squamata; Phrynosomatidae
Source: the annotation of a GenBank genome assembly